RNAcentral lists this ribosomal RNA (658 nucleotides) under uncultured fungus. RNAcentral describes it as "eukaryotic LSU rRNA". It matches the Rfam family "Eukaryotic large subunit ribosomal RNA", at positions 24 to 664 of the family's 3401-position model. The record is from RNAcentral. Lineage: Eukaryota; Fungi.
CCCGCUGAACUUAAGCAUAUCAAUAAGCGGAGGAAAAGAAACUAACAAGGAUUCCCCUAGUAACUGCGAGUGAAGCGGGAAAAGCUCAAAUUUAAAAUCUGGCGGUCUUUGGCUGUCUGAGUUGUAAUCUAGAGAAGUGUUAUCCGCGCUGGACCGUGUACAAGUCUCCUGGAAUGGAGCAUCAUAGAGGGUGAGAAUCCCGUCUUUGACAUGGACUGCCAGGGCUUUGUGAUGCGCUCUCAAAGAGUCGAGUUGUUUGGGAAUGCAGCUCAAAAUGGGUAGUAAAUUCCAUCUAUAGCUAAAUAUAGACGAGAGACCGAUAGCGAACAAGUACCGUGAGGGAAAGAUGAAAAGAACUUUAGAGAGAGAGUUAGACAGUACGUGAAAUUGCUGAAAGGGAAACGCUUGAAGUCAGUCGCGUCGUCCAGGGAUCAACCUUGCUUUUGCUUGGUGCACUUUCUGGUUCGAUGGGUCAGCAUCAAUUUUGACUGUUGGAAAAAGGUCAAGGGAAUGUGGCAUCUUUGGAUGUGUUAUAGCCCUUGGUCACAUACAAUGGUUGGGAUUGAGGAACUCAGCACGCCGCAAGGCCGGGUUUUAAACCACGUACGUGCUUAGGAUGCUGGCAAUAUGGCUUUAAUCGACCCGUCUUGAAACACGG